This 557-nucleotide long non-coding RNA is filed under the name Elaeis guineensis (African oil palm). RNAcentral describes it as "long non-coding RNA (EGUI_LNC020286)". The record is from RNAcentral. Lineage: Eukaryota; Viridiplantae; Streptophyta; Magnoliopsida; Arecales; Arecaceae.
GGAUUUCUAUUCAAUCUCAGUGAUUGUCUCGAUGCUGUAGUUGUGUGUCUGAUCUUUUGACUUGAGAUGGCACUACUACUCAUAGUGAGGCUGUUGGAGUUUGAUUGAUACAUAAACAUGGAUCUCAAUGUGCCCUUGUAGUAGAUAUUGGCGAUAGUUGGUCCACUGUAGGAGUAGGGUGUGCAUCAAGAUGGGAUUUAUCAAUCUUGAUAGAGAGUAGUAGUCCUAUGAGAUUUGAGAAGCUAAGUCUAUGAAUCUGUGAUCACAUUAGAGUGAUUGAUGGAAAAAAAUUUUCAUAGACAUCACAUCUGGACUUGACCUAAUCAAAUCUAUCAUAUGACUGAUGUUGAGGUUUGACGAUUUAUCCAUGACCUGCCAUCUAGUCGAGACUCACGAUAGAAGGACUGAAUCACACAUUAACUACACCUAGAGAUUCUUUUUAAUUCUACUGGGUUGCCACUACAUACUGUUAAGUGUCACUGAUAGAUUGUGAGAGCUCACUAGGAUUGUUCCGGAUCGACAAUCCUUGUUGAGUUAGAGUGAAAUUACUCCGACCC